GUAGCUAAAUGCGGAAGAGAUAAGUGCUGAAAGCAUCUAAGCACGAAACUUGCCCCGAGAUGAGUUCUCCCUGAGACUUUAGGUCUCCUGAAGGAACGUUGAAGACGACGACGUUGAUAGGCCGGGUGUGUAAGCGCAGCGAUGCGUUGAGCUAACCGGUACUAAUGAACCGUGAGGCUUAACCUUACAACGCCGAAG
This 198-nucleotide ribosomal RNA is filed under the name Salmonella enterica subsp. enterica serovar Oranienburg. RNAcentral describes it as "partial 23S ribosomal RNA". It matches the Rfam family "Bacterial large subunit ribosomal RNA", at positions 2745 to 2925 of the family's 2925-position model. RNAcentral also lists the same sequence under 2 other names. Lineage: Bacteria; Pseudomonadati; Pseudomonadota; Gammaproteobacteria; Enterobacterales; Enterobacteriaceae. The record is from RNAcentral.